Molecule: long non-coding RNA, 2041 nt
Organism: Bombyx mori (domestic silkworm)
Lineage: Eukaryota; Metazoa; Arthropoda; Insecta; Lepidoptera; Bombycidae
Exons: 2
Source: RefSeq, a predicted model, not a curated record
ACCUAUCGACAGCACUGAUUUUUUGGCAGGUCGAUUGAUUUUAACUUCAAACUUCAAAAUUGUCAUUAACUAAUCAUUUAACAUACAUCACAAUAUAUUAUAUUGUAAAAAAAUCAUUCGUUAGAUUUUCUUGAUUGUUUCGAAGAGUUCCGCAAAAACCAUUUUCGCGCUGUGAAUUAAUGUGUCACAGAUGAAGUUUAAGACUAACGAGAGUAUGAUCCAUUAGGGUCAACAGCGACUGCGAUUACUUUCUUGAUGGGAUUCAUAAUUUUAUCCCUAACAGAAUCUAAGAUAGUAAUCUUAAUUGUUCUAUUUUAAUAGCCAUGCUUGAAAAGCGACAUAAGAAGACUUUCCACCGAACGCAGUUUCUAUGGUAGACCGACAGUCCAAAUAUUGUUCCUCGGAGCUUAGUUUAGCAGCUGCGUAAGUGACGUCGCGCUGAUGGUAUACAUGUGAAAGCUGCCACAAAGAUCUUUCACCGAGCAUAUAUUGUCUGUGGUAAGCAUAUGAAAAAUGUACGAGUAUUUAAUCACUAUUUACCUCAACUAUUUUAGUUUUCAAGGAAAAACGCUGUUAUUCACUCGCCUACCCAACUUCAUAACUAGUUCAGAAUAUGAUAAUAAAAUGAACCCAUCGAAAUUUUUUCCUGUGAUAUUUUGCGAAGACUUCGUGUAAACAACAGUAGAGCUAUUUGAAUACAAAAAUCCUACAAAACACAUUUAGUGUAGUUAAAUUACGAAAGCUUUCCUGUUUAAAAGAUGAAAAAUAGCCGUGACUAUGAGAAAUAACAUCAAGGUUCGUUCUAACGUUACACACUUCCACUUUUAAAAACUUUUUUUUCGAACUAUUAAAAUUGUUAGGAAAAAACCAGAUACUUAUGAUGGUAACCAACAACCGCACGAUGGAAAACUAAUAACAACAAGAACGCAAAUUACGGUUAGAUAGCCGUAACUUAAAAGGAAAUAAUGUUACCAGCUCUUGCAUAUGUAAUAGUGAUUUUAUACAGCGUCUUCUAGUGAUCAGAUGGUUAAGGUGUUACAAAUUAAGUUUAUGAUAUAAAUUACUAUAAAUGAUAAAAACGAUCGUAAAUGCAACAUGGCCGAUUGUGAAGAGGAGCCAUCAGUAGAUAGUCAGUAAAUGAAUGUUCACGAUUGUGUGGAGAGUUACCCGAUCAUGGCGGCGAUGAUGGACGAUCAUUUGUUGGCCCAUCAUGGCCGAUUGUGAAGAGGAGCCAUAAGGCAGUUAAGGUUCCCGAACUUUCUACGCUAAAGCCACACUGAAAUCGGUGUAGUAAAAUCAUUCAAUCAUUCCUAUCGAAGGAAAUCGCACCAGACUAGGCCGGUUUUGUGAGAGGAAAAGGUACUAAGAGAGCAGGUUCUACGACAAAUAAUUAAUCGAAAAAGCAAGAGAAUUCAACAAGCGCAUUUACGUAUGCUUCGGUCGGUUUCUCUAAAGCAUUCGACUCUGUUAAAUGGCGUAAGCACUGGGAACCCUUAACUGACAUGGGAACAUCAAAACAUCUAGUGCACCUCAUAAAACUAUACAAUAGAAUGUAUAAUAUCACCGAUACACACAUUCAUGCAUAUUGCAUAUAUUGAUACAUACACAUAUAUAUAAUUAAAUAUACAUGUAUUAUAUCACCAAUACUAUUCAAUAUCUACACUCAUCAUGAGAAUUACUCCCGAAGACUACGAACGAUAGCAUUUUCAUUGAAGGACCUUGAAAUCUCUAACCUCCGUUACGCCGAUGACGCCACCUUGUUUGCGACUAGUAUUUCCUUCAUCGAAAAUCUUCUGGCAACGACUAAAACACGGAGUCUCAAAUUCGGCCCCAAUAUAAACAGCAGCAAAACCAAAGUAAUGAAUGUCGACAGAGCCAACAACAGCUCGCCAGAAGUCAGAUGUAUCGCCAACUGCCAUGUCGUAGUCUUAAAUUUACUUCGGUUCCCUCAUAUCCAACGAAUGGAAGUACAAUCAAAUCAGUAAAAAUUUAAAGCAUAAGUACUUGUGGUUGUUAAUAAUAAAAUUAUAGGCUUAUAUAA